Molecule: ribosomal RNA, 904 nt
Filed under: Inocybe sp.
Lineage: Eukaryota; Fungi; Basidiomycota; Agaricomycetes; Agaricales; Inocybaceae
Description: partial large subunit ribosomal RNA
Rfam family: Eukaryotic large subunit ribosomal RNA
Source: RNAcentral
ACAGGAUUCCCCUAGUAACUGCGAGUGAAGCGGGAAAAGCUCAAAUUUGAAAUCUGGCAGUUCUUGACUGUCCGAGUUGUAAUCUAGAGAAGUGUUGCCUGUGCUGGACCGUGUACAAGUAUCCUGGAAUGGAGCAUCAUAGAGGGUGAGAAUCCCGUCUUUGACACGGACUACCUGUACAUUAUGGUANGCUCUCAAAGAGUCGAGUUGUUUGGGAAUGCAGCUCAAAAUGGGUGGUAAAUGCCAUCUAAAGCUAAAUAUUGGCGAGAGACCGAUAGCGAACAAGUACCGUGAGGGAAAGAUGAAAAGAACUUUGGAAAGAGAGUUAAACAGUACGUGAAAUUGCUGAAAGGGAAACGCUUGAAGUCAGUCGCGUUGGCUGGAAAUCAGCCUUGCUUUUGCUUGGUGUACUUUCUGGCUGACGGGUCAGCAUCAAUUUUGACCACUGGAUAAAGUCACUGGGAAUGUGGCACCUUCGGGUGUGUUAUAGCCCUGAGUCGCAUACAGUGGUUGGGAUUGAGGAACUCAGCACGCCGCAAGGACGGGUCUCGACCACGUUCGUGCUUAGGAUGCUGGCAUAAUGGCUUUAAUCGACCCGUCUUGAAACACGGACCAAGGAGUCUAACAUGCCUGCGAGUGUUUGGGUGGAAAACCCAUGCGCGUAAUGAAAGUGAAAGUUGAGAUCCCUUCAGGGAGCAUUGACGCCCGGACCAGACCUUCUGUGACGGAUCCGCGGUAGAGCAUGUAUGUUGGGACCCGAAAGAUGGUGAACUAUGCCUGAAUAGGGUGAAGCCAGAGGAAACUCUGGUGGAGGCUCGUAGCGAUUCUGACGUGCAAAUCGAUCGUCAAAUUUGGGUAUAGGGGCGAAAGACUAAUCGAACCAUCUAGUAGCUGGUUCCUGCGA